This 491-nucleotide ribosomal RNA is filed under the name uncultured bacterium. RNAcentral's name for it is "bacterial SSU rRNA". It matches the Rfam family "Bacterial small subunit ribosomal RNA", at positions 9 to 495 of the family's 1533-position model. The record is from RNAcentral.
GAGUUUGAUCAUGGCUCAGAUUGAACGCUGGCGGCAUGCCUUACACAUGCAAGUCGAACGGUAACAGGGAGCUUGCUCCGCUGACGAGUGGCGAACGGGUGAGUAAUGCGUCGGAACGUGCCGAGUAGUGGGGGAUAACGCAUCGAAAGGUGUGCUAAUACCGCAUACGAACUGAGGUUGAAAGUGGGGGACCUUCGGGCCUCACGCUAUUCGAGCGGCCGACGUCUGAUUAGCUAGUAGGUGAGGUAAAGGCUCACCUAGGCGACGAUCAGUAGCGGGUCUGAGAGGAUGAUCCGCCACACUGGGACUGAGACACGGCCCAGACUCCUACGGGAGGCAGCAGUGGGGAAUUUUGGACAAUGGGCGCAAGCCUGAUCCAGCCAUGCCGCGUGUCUGAAGAAGGCCUUCGGGUUGUAAAGGACUUUUGUCUGGGAGCAAAUACCCGGUGUUAAUAGCGCCGGGGGCUGAGAGUACCAGAAGAAUAAGCACCG